GAUGAACGUUGGCGGCGUGCCUAAUACAUGCAAGUCGAGCGGUGCAGUUUGAAGCUUCGGUGGAAAGCUGCAUAGCGGCGGACGGGUGAGGAAAACGUAGGAACGUGCCCCUUGGAGUUGGAUAGCCACGGGAAACUGUGGGUAAACCGACAUAGACUCGAGAGAGUAAAGGCCGAAAGGCGCCAAGGGAGCGGCCUGCGGCCCAUCAGGUAGUUGGUAGUGUAAAGGACUACCAAGCCGACGACGGGUAGCCGGUCUGAGAGGAUGGCCGGCCACAAGGGCACUGAGAGACGGGCCCUACUCCUACGGGAGGCAGCAGUGGGGGAUUUUGGACAAUGGGCGAAAGCCUGAUCCAGCGACGCCGCGUGGAGGACGAAGCCCUUCGGGGUGUAAACUUCUUUUCUGUCAGAAGAAUAAGCUUGUCGAGACGAGUGAUGCCGGUAUGACAGGAAUAAGCAUCGGCUAACUCCGUG
RNAcentral lists this ribosomal RNA (473 nucleotides) under uncultured bacterium. RNAcentral's name for it is "bacterial SSU rRNA". It matches the Rfam family "Bacterial small subunit ribosomal RNA", at positions 28 to 507 of the family's 1533-position model. The record is from RNAcentral.